Molecule: ribosomal RNA, 448 nt
Filed under: uncultured bacterium
Lineage: Bacteria
Description: bacterial SSU rRNA
Rfam family: Bacterial small subunit ribosomal RNA
Source: RNAcentral
AACGAACGCUGGCGGCAGGCUUAACACAUGCAAGUCGAGCGCCCCGCAAGGGGAGCGGCAGACGGGUGAGUAACGCGUGGGAACGUACCCUUCGGUUCGGAAUAACUCAGGGAAACUUGGGCUAAUACCGGAUACGUCCGUGAGGAGAAAGAUUUAUCGCCGAAGGAUCGGCCCGCGUUGGAUUAGCUAGUUGGUGGGGUAAUGGCCUACCAAGGCGACGAUCCAUAGCUGGUCUGAGAGGAUGAUCAGCCACACUGGGACUGAGACACGGCCCAGACUCCUACGGGAGGCAGCAGUGGGGAAUAUUGGACAAUGGGCGAAAGCCUGAUCCAGCCAUGCCGCGUGAGUGAUGAAGGCCCUAGGGUUGUAAAGCUCUUUCAGUGGGGAAGAUAAUGACGGUACCCACAGAAGAAGCCCCGGCUAACUUCGUGCCAGCAGCCGCGGUAAU